This 65-nucleotide transfer RNA is filed under the name Dipodomys ordii (Ord's kangaroo rat). It matches the Rfam family "tRNA". Rfam says of the family: Transfer RNA (tRNA) molecules are approximately 80 nucleotides in length. Their secondary structure includes four short double-helical elements and three loops (D, anti-codon, and T loops). Lineage: Eukaryota; Metazoa; Chordata; Mammalia; Rodentia; Heteromyidae. The record is from Rfam by way of RNAcentral.
GGUGGCUCAGUGGCAGAGUGCUUGCCUUGUAUGCAUGAGGCCUUGGGUUCGAUUCCUCAGUACCA